Long non-coding RNA from Esox lucius (northern pike), 1375 nucleotides. Lineage: Eukaryota; Metazoa; Chordata; Actinopteri; Esociformes; Esocidae. The record is from Ensembl.
GAGGGGGACACAGUGGGCUGUACUGAAUGUAUAUAGACCUCUAACCAUGCAUAGGAGGGAGACACAGUGGGCUGUACUGAAUGUGUAUAGGCCUGAGCUCAACCUUCAACAGAGAGCUCUUGAACUGACUCUGCUGAGAGUGUAAAGUUUCUGUGCCUUUCCCAUUAGUGAUUUCCACAACAAUUCUAAUACAUUAUAUUUGAGACAGAACCCCUCUCUUUUACUCAAAUAGUCUGUGCUAUAUUGUUUCUCAUGGCAACAAUCAGAAAGACAUAAGUAGUUAACACAGUCAGCCUGAGCCUGCUACAAUACACAAGAGAUAGACAGCAACCUUUUUAAAGCAUGAAAUGCUGGUAUGUGAGGACACCAGACAGAGGUUAAGAGGACAUGGAAUCGAAUCAAUCAUGCCAUUCUUCUAACAUCACACAUUUUGAUUACAAUGACAACAGUGUUGGUUAUGAUGGUGAAAGCAGAUCACGAAUUUGCAAUGUUGAAGUCUACCCUGCCCUGGCUCCUAAAAGCUCUGACUCUGAAUAUAAUGUCUGAUCCAGGUAUAUGUGGCCCUCUCUGGUGAAAGAUAAGGAAAGGUGCAGCAUAGUGAGAGAAGGAAGGUAGGCUUAUAAAUGCAGUUAAUUGAUCAUGAUUAAGAAACUGUACACUUGAACAAAGUGGCUAAGUGCUUUGUGCUUCCCUGUAGUCAUAGCUUAUGUUAGAAAUCGGCGGUUACGUAUAGUGGUGAAAUAAUGUAGAUCCCGUAUCAAAUCGAGGGAGAAGUAUGCUCAUAUUUAUUGGAAAAUUGCAGCACAGAUGUCAUUCGGUGAACGUUCCAUUAUCUUCUCACUGUAAUGUUAGUUGCUAGCUAGCCUAUACAUUAGGGGCGUUUCUAUCUAGCACAGAUCAUGUUUCCAAGACAGUAACCCCCAUGCCGUAUGGUCAAUGUGAACAUUCCUGGGGUUAUCAGAGCGCAACCUACAGAGAGAUAAUCUAAACAGAGAGGUUUCUGUUGUUCUCAUUAUCUAGGCACAUUUUGGUUUCCAUUUAUCGUUGUUAUGUCAUUUAAUUUUCAACAAAUUACACAAUGUACAGAAAAGAUUUUGAUCUUUAAUAUACUUCCUUCACCGAGACCCGAUGUGUGAUUUAAGUGUUCAUUUUAUUUUUGAGGACUGUAUUAGUACAAAUAAACAUUAAUAAAUUAAACAAGUAACAGGAAUGUCUUGGCUAAAUAGUAAUUGAUAUCUUGUGACAUGGCUAGAAGAAAUGUGAAAUAAUCUGGGUAACUUUAAGACUGAAAAUGCAUUGCAAGACACAAAAUGAUAUCUGCAUUUGAUGAAUAGUACUUGAAGGUCAACUUCCUUGAUGGAGAGAAUUAAAUCUA